This 356-nucleotide ribosomal RNA is filed under the name Agelasa nigriceps. RNAcentral's name for it is "partial 16S ribosomal RNA". Lineage: Eukaryota; Metazoa; Arthropoda; Insecta; Coleoptera; Chrysomelidae. The record is from RNAcentral. RNAcentral also lists the same sequence under 1 other name.
CCGCGGUAUUUUGACCGUGCUAAGGUAGCAUAAUCAUUAGUUUUUUAAUUGAAAGCUGGAAUGAAGGGUUGGAUGAAAAAAAAACUGUCUCUAUUAAAUAGGUAGAAUUUUAUUUUUAAGUUAAAAAGCUUAAAUUUAGUUAAAAGACGAGAAGACCCUAUAGAGUUUUAUAAAAAGUAUUAUUUUUAUAUUUAGUAUUAAAUUUAAAUUUAUAAUAAAUUUAUUUAAUUGGGGUGAUUAAAAAAUUAAAGUAACUUUUUUUGUAUUUUUAUACAUUAAGUAAGUAUUUGAUCCAGUAAUAUUGAUUAUAAGAAAAAAUUACCUUAGGGAUAACAGCGUAAUUUUAUUGGAGAGUU